RNAcentral lists this unclassified non-coding RNA (263 nucleotides) under plant metagenome. Its description in RNAcentral is "partial contains small subunit ribosomal RNA, internal transcribed spacer 1, and 5.8S ribosomal RNA". The record is from RNAcentral.
UUUCCGUAGGUGAACCUGCGGAAGGAUCAUUAUUGUAAAAGCGAGGUGCGAGGGCUGUCGCUUACCUGCAUGGUUGAGCACGCCCGAGUGUCCUCACACACUUCCACAUCAGCCCCAUGUGCACAACCGCGUGGGUCCCCCUUUGGCUUGUUCGGAGGGGGGCUUACGUUUUCUCAUAAACUUUGUAUGCAGUGUAGAAUGUAUUUUUUGUUUUUGCGAUCACGCAAUCAAUACAACUUUCAACAACGGAUCUCUUGGCUCUC